UGGCUCAGAACGAACGCUGGCGGCAGGUCUUAGGCAUGCAAGUCGAACGGGUGUAGCAAUACAUCAGUGGCGCACGAGUGAGUAACGCGUAGGGAAGCUACCCAUCACGUGGGAAUAACGUUUGGAAACGAACGCUAAUACCGCAUACGACCCGGAAAGGGGAAAGAUUUAUCGGUGAUGGAUGUCGCCCGCGUUGGAUUAGCUUGUUGGUGGGGUAACGGCCUACCAAGGCGAUGAUCCAUAGCUGGUCUGAGAGGACGAUCAGCCACGCUGGGACUGAGACACGGCCCAGACUCCUACGGGAGGCAGCAGCUAAGAAUAUUGGACAAUGGGGGAAACCCUGAUCCAAGCCAUGCCGCGUGAAUGAAGAAGGCCUUCGGGUUGUAAAGUUCUUUUAGUAGUGAAGAUGAUGACAGUAGCUACAGAAAAAGCACCGGCUAACUUCGUGCCAGCCGCCGC
RNAcentral lists this ribosomal RNA (459 nucleotides) under uncultured bacterium. RNAcentral's name for it is "bacterial SSU rRNA". It matches the Rfam family "Bacterial small subunit ribosomal RNA", at positions 20 to 518 of the family's 1533-position model. The record is from RNAcentral.